GCCUGGGUGGCUCAGUUGGUUGAGCGUUGGACUUCAGCUCAGGUCAUGAUUUCACGGUUCAUGGGUUCAAGCCCCACUCGGGCU
RNAcentral lists this transfer RNA (84 nucleotides) under Felis catus (domestic cat). It matches the Rfam family "tRNA". Rfam says of the family: Transfer RNA (tRNA) molecules are approximately 80 nucleotides in length. Their secondary structure includes four short double-helical elements and three loops (D, anti-codon, and T loops). Further hydrogen bonds mediate the characteristic L-shaped molecular structure. tRNAs have two regions of fundamental functional importance: the anti-codon, which is responsible for specific mRNA codon recognition, and the 3' end, to which the tRNAs corresponding amino acid is attached (by aminoacyl-tRNA synthetases). tRNAs cope with the degeneracy of the genetic code in two manners: having more than one tRNA (with a specific anti-codon) for a particular amino acid; and 'wobble' base-pairing, i.e. permitting non-standard base-pairing at the 3rd anti-codon position. Lineage: Eukaryota; Metazoa; Chordata; Mammalia; Carnivora; Felidae. The record is from Rfam by way of RNAcentral.